Sorex araneus (European shrew) is the source of this 132-nucleotide small nucleolar RNA. RefSeq annotates it as small nucleolar RNA SNORA51. The transcript has a single exon. The record is from RefSeq and is a predicted model, not a curated record. NCBI's taxonomy places the organism in Eukaryota, Metazoa, Chordata, Mammalia, Eulipotyphla, Soricidae.
GGCCUCCGGGUGCGUCCCACAGGCUGUGUUCUUUACACUGACUUUAUAGAAAGAGGAGGCACAGGGCACUCACCCCAUAUACACCCCAGCCCGGCCCUCUGACUAAUCUGUAUUGUGACCGGAGGGACAUGG